UAUGAGCAUUAUAAGGGAAUAAAGUAGACGGUAGGAUAGACACAAAUCAACAGCCCAGAGCAGUGUUCAUGAGUAAUAACUACUAAUAAGCCUGCUCUGGUGUCUCCAGAGCAGAUAGGAAGGCUGAUGAAAAUGGGAAUGUAGUUUAGAAGAGAAAAGGUGAAUCAGUGAUCCUUGCUUCGUGUUUUCGGUAGAAGCUGCCAUGUCACCUAAUGACCACUAGAUGUCAGAAAGGCCACUUUAUUUUAACUCCCUUCAUUUAGCAUUUCUAAGCACUGUAUAAACAUUAAAAUGUCUUGUUUUUAACACCCUUUAAUAUAGUUGUAAGAAGGAGGAUUUAAGUUUGUUAUAAACCAUUUAUUAAAUCUUUGUAUGCUGCUUAGAAAUGCUAAAUAAGGUCAAAGUAAAGUGUUCCAAUAUGUUAUCCAUCGGGUACUUCCCAUCUUUGUUUUUUUUUUAUAAAUCUUUUGAUUUGCAAAAAAGAACAGCAGUUACUUACAGACAUUUGGCAACAGACAUUUUGUUUUGCUCCCCCCACCCUCACAUACUGCCUAUGCAAAUAAUAGUUAUACAGAAAAAAAAAAAAAAAAGUAAAAAAGUACUUAUUUCCAACAUAUAUACAGGGUAUU
Long non-coding RNA from Sander lucioperca (pikeperch), 629 nucleotides. RefSeq lists it as uncharacterized. The transcript is spliced from 2 exons. The record is from RefSeq and is a predicted model, not a curated record. Lineage: Eukaryota; Metazoa; Chordata; Actinopteri; Perciformes; Percidae.